AUUGAACGCUGGCGGCAGGCCUAACACAUGCAAGUCGAGCGGAAACGAGUUAUCUGAACCUUCGGGGAACGAUAACGGCGUCGAGCGGCGGACGGGUGAGUAAUGCCUAGGAAAUUGCCCUGAUGUGGGGGAUAACCAUUGGAAACGAUGGCUAAUACCGCAUGAUGCCUACGGGCCAAAGAGGGGGACCUUCGGGCCUCUCGCGUCAGGAUAUGCCUAGGUGGGAUUAGCUAGUUGGUGAGGUAAGGGCUCACCAAGGCGACGAUCCCUAGCUGGUCUGAGAGGAUGAUCAGCCACACUGGAACUGAGACACGGUCCAGACUCCUACGGGAGGCAGCAGUGGGGAAUAUUGCACAAUGGGCGCAAGCCUGAUGCAGCCAUGCCGCGUGUGUGAAGAAGGCCUUCGGGUUGUAAAGCACUUUCAGUCGUGAGGAAGGUAGUGUAGUUAAUAGCUGCAUUAUUUGACGUUAGCGACAGAAGAAGCACCGGCUAACUCCGUGCCAGCAGCCGCGGUAAUACGGAGGGUGCGAGCGUUAAUCGGAAUUACUGGGCGUAAAGCGCAUGCAGGUGGUUUGUUAAGUCAGAUGUGAAAGCCCGGGGCUCAACCUCGGAAUAGCAUUUGAAACUGGCAGACUAGAGUACUGUAGAGGGGGGUAGAAUUUCAGGUGUAGCGGUGAAAUGCGUAGAGAUCUGAAGGAAUACCGGUGGCGAAGGCGGCCCCCUGGACAGAUACUGACACUCAGAUGCGAAAGCGUGGGGAGCAAACAGGAUUAGAUACCCUGGUAGUCCACGCCGUAAACGAUGUCUACUUGGAGGUUGUGGCCUUGAGCCGUGGCUUUCGGAGCUAACGCGUUAAGUAGACCGCCUGGGGAGUACGGUCGCAAGAUUAAAACUCAAAUGAAUUGACGGGGGCCCGCACAAGCGGUGGAGCAUGUGGUUUAAUUCGAUGCAACGCGAAGAACCUUACCUACUCUUGACAUCCAGAGAACUUUCCAGAGAUGGAUUGGUGCCUUCGGGAACUCUGAGACAGGUGCUGCAUGGCUGUCGUCAGCUCGUGUUGUGAAAUGUUGGGUUAAGUCCCGCAACGAGCGCAACCCUUAUCCUUGUUUGCCAGCGAGUAAUGUCGGGAACUCCAGGGAGACUGCCGGUGAUAAACCGGAGGAAGGUGGGGACGACGUCAAGUCAUCAUGGCCCUUACGAGUAGGGCUACACACGUGCUACAAUGGCGCAUACAGAGGGCAGCCAACUUGCGAAAGUGAGCGAAUCCCAAAAAGUGCGUCGUAGUCCGGAUUGGAGUCUGCAACUCGACUCCAUGAAGUCGGAAUCGCUAGUAAUCGUGGAUCAGAAUGCCACGGUGAAUACGUUCCCGGGCCUUGUACACACCGCCCGUCACACCAUGGGAGUGGGCUGCAAAAGAAGUAGGUAGUUUAACCUUCGGGGGGACGCUUACCACUUUGUGGUUCAUGACUGGGGUGA
This 1476-nucleotide ribosomal RNA is filed under the name Vibrio antiquarius. RNAcentral's name for it is "16S ribosomal RNA". It matches the Rfam family "Bacterial small subunit ribosomal RNA". Lineage: Bacteria; Pseudomonadati; Pseudomonadota; Gammaproteobacteria; Vibrionales; Vibrionaceae. The record is from RNAcentral.